CGCUUAAAAGCUAGCUCAAACUCUAACUUAACAU
RNAcentral lists this ribosomal RNA (34 nucleotides) under Fundulopanchax gardneri (blue lyretail). RNAcentral describes it as "partial 16S ribosomal RNA". Lineage: Eukaryota; Metazoa; Chordata; Actinopteri; Cyprinodontiformes; Nothobranchiidae. The record is from RNAcentral.